This 305-nucleotide ribosomal RNA is filed under the name uncultured bacterium. RNAcentral describes it as "bacterial SSU rRNA". It matches the Rfam family "Bacterial small subunit ribosomal RNA", at positions 337 to 642 of the family's 1533-position model. The record is from RNAcentral.
UCCUACGGGACGCAGCAGUGGGGAAUAUUGCACAAUGGGGGAAACCCUGAUGCAGCGACGCCGCGUGAGUGAAGAAGUAUUUCGGUACGUAAAGCUCUAUCAGCAGGGAAGAAAUAAAGUCCUUUGGACUUUGGACGGUACCUGACUAAGAAGCCCCGGCUAACUACGUGCCAGCAGCCGCGGUAAUACGUAGGGGGCAAGCGUUAUCCGGAUUUACUGGGUGUAAAGGGAGCGUAGACGGCUUUGCAAGUCUGAAGUGAAAGCCCAGGGCUCAACCUUGGGACUGCUUUGGAAACUGUAUAGCU